Molecule: long non-coding RNA, 886 nt
Organism: Dreissena polymorpha
Lineage: Eukaryota; Metazoa; Mollusca; Bivalvia; Myida; Dreissenidae
Exons: 4
Source: RefSeq, a predicted model, not a curated record
AUUAAAGUGGAUAACAAGUGGAUAGCAAAUUUUGUACAAAUAAUUUAACUUUAAACUGCUAUAUAGUCGCAAAAUGACUGAAGUAUCUUCCAAAGACCAAACAUUACGUUAAUUUUCAAGCAAGUAUUUACUGCCACCGCAAUGGACUAGAAGCAGACGACGCUUAAAAGUGACGAUUUCACUGAUUUAAAGAGGGGGAAGCGAGAGGGGGAAGCGACCAAAUUCACCAAGGACAGCAUAUUUUGGAGAUAUCUCCUAUAAAAAGGGCGACGGUCGCGUUCACAAAGGCGACGGUCGCGUUCGUAAAGUGCGACGGUCGUGUUCAAAGGGCGAGAUAUCGCAUUUAAAAGGAGUAAAAAUGAGAGCUGUUCCGGGUCGCCUUCCUAGCUGUAUCCGGCUGAACUGACGUUGUCCACGGUGAAGACCCGGACGUUGAUGAUCAGCUUAUCAUAUGAUAUGAACGCCAUUUCAAUUUCAAGGCUCAUUACACGGGUUUCAAUGCUGGACAUUAGUUUAUUCAGUUCAGAAAGCUGUGAUUGUAUAGUGUCAAGCUUCGCAAGCCGUGAGUCCACAGAGUUUAAUCGAUCAAGAAUUUGCGAGAGAUUGUCAUUAAAUGUUUGUGUCGUACCUUGCCCCUUGAGGACGGUCUGCUGGGCCGACUGUUGCAUUGGUUGCAUCUGCUGGUACUCGACUUGCUGUGGCUGCUGCGAGUAGAAGGCGCCGGAAGACGUCUGGUAGGCAUUCAUGGCAGCCAUGUUAGACAUGUUAUACGACACUUGAUUUGCAUUGCAUUGAGUUCACAGAAUGGAAGUUUUGAUGGCAUUGUGCAGUUGAUGGCAAACCAGAAGGCAGACGGGCUAGGUUCGUGCGCAACUUCUCUGUUGUC